GAAAACCAACUCAAUUUGCAUGCCAAGAAGUGUGUCACCCAAAGAUAAUAUGCUAGUGGCCAAUUUAAGAACUUCAACAUAUCCAUGAAGCAAUGAUGAUGAAGGAAGAAGUGCAACUAGCACAAGAAGAAAAGAAUUGAAAGAAUGCAUGAAGUGCCACACCCAUGCCAAAAGAAGAAAGGAAAAGAAGUAUGGGAUGGAAGCAAACAAGAAGAAAUUGAAUUCACAUGCUUGUGAGGUGUCAUCCACUCCAAAGAAGCUCAAAUUCAAUGC
RNAcentral lists this long non-coding RNA (273 nucleotides) under Prunus persica (peach). RNAcentral's name for it is "long non-coding RNA (PPER_LNC000314)". The record is from RNAcentral. Lineage: Eukaryota; Viridiplantae; Streptophyta; Magnoliopsida; Rosales; Rosaceae.